AGAGUUUGAUCCUGGCUCAGAACUAACGCUGGUGGCGUGUCUUAGUCAUGCAAGUCGAACGAGAAAGCACCUUCGGGUGCGAGUAAAGUGGCGAACGGGUGAGUAACACGUGGGUAACCUACCUUUGAGUGGGGAACAAUCCCUCUAACGAGGGGCUAAUACCGCAUAAUGCAGCGGCUCCGCAUGGAGACAGUUGUUAAAGGGGCAGCUUCGGUUGUCUCGCUUGAAGAUGGACCCGCAGUCCAUUAGCUUGUUGGUGAGGUAACGGCUCACCAAGGCAACGAUGGAUAGCCGGCCUGAGAGGGUGUACGGCCACACUGGAACUGAGAAAGGUCCAGUCCCCUACGGGGGCCAGCAGUCUAGAAAUUUGCGCAAUGGGCGAAAGCCUGACGCAGCGACGCCACGUGGAGGAUGAAGCCCCUCGGGGUGUAAACUCCUGUCAGAAGGGAAGAAGGCGCGGGCGUUAAUACCGCUCGUUGCUUGACGGUACCUUCAGAGGAAGCUCCGGCUAACUACGUGCCAGCAGCCGCGGUAAUACGUAGGGAGCGAGCGUUGUUCGGAUUUACUGGGCGUAAAGGGCAUGUAGGCGGGUAUGCAAGUCGGUUGUGAAAUCCUCUGGCUCAACCAGAGAACUGCAGCCGAAACUGCACACCUUGAGUCCAGCAGAGGGAAUCGGAAUCCCAGGUGUAGCGGUGAAAUGCGUAGAUAUCUGGGAGAACAUCAGUGGCGAAGGCGGAUUCCUGGGCUGGUACUGACGCUGAGGUGCGAAAGCUAAGGGAGCGAACAGGAUUAGAUACCCUGGUAGUCUUAGCCGUAAACGAUGGGUACUAGGUGUUGGGGGACAUUGACCCCCUCAGUGCCGUAGCUAACGCAUUAAGUACCCCGCCUGGGGAGUACGGCCGCAAGGCUGAAACUCAAAGGAAUUGACGGGGGCCCGCACAAGCGGUGGAGUAUGUGGUUUAAUUCGAUGCAACGCGAAGAACCUUACCAAGGCUUGACAUCCUGCGAAUCUCCAAGAAAUUGGAGAGUGCCUUCGGGAACGCAGUGACAGGUGGUGCAUGGCUGUCGUCAGCUCGUG
Molecule: ribosomal RNA, 1078 nt
Filed under: uncultured bacterium
Lineage: Bacteria
Description: bacterial SSU rRNA
Rfam family: Bacterial small subunit ribosomal RNA
Source: RNAcentral